AUGCAGGUCGACUGCAUGGAGCUGGUCACCCAAUGGAGUUCGCGCAGCAACUCAAGAUCUAUUGCAGCGCCUAUCUUUCAAGAACUGGAAGCUUUAGUCCUUAAUUUUGUUUCUUUCUCGGUUCAGCAUAUUAGUAGGGAACUUAAUUUCCUGGCCCAUCUGUGUGCACAGCGUGCCUGUGCAACGGAGGGCACGGACUGUUGGCUCGAUGCGAGUCCAGAUUUUCUUGUUACUAGCCUACGGGCAGACUGUAACCGCAUGAUCAUUCGUUAA
RNAcentral lists this ribosomal RNA (273 nucleotides) under Triticum aestivum (bread wheat). RNAcentral describes it as "partial small subunit ribosomal RNA". Lineage: Eukaryota; Viridiplantae; Streptophyta; Magnoliopsida; Poales; Poaceae. The record is from RNAcentral.